UAAAAGGUAUCCGUCGAAUACAACUCGUCGCCAUAUGAGUUAUGACAUUGACGACGUACAUGUGUGAUAUGUGAUUGAUCAUAUCGUGUAAUAGUUUAGAUAUUAGAAAUAAUUCAACUUGGUCACUAAUAGUAAGAAAGAAAAUUCGUAAUGUUUUAUAGGGUGAUUAUUUUCACACAUUUAUUAGGCUUCAAAACAAAUAUGCUGAACUGUUUUCCAAAAGCAGAUACAAAGUUUGACGUAUCAUUAGAUGAAUAGCAUUUUCAACGGUGGAGAAACCUAUUUGAAAUUCUUAAUGAUAAAAUAUUAAUAUUUU
Molecule: long non-coding RNA, 316 nt
Filed under: Brassica napus (rape)
Lineage: Eukaryota; Viridiplantae; Streptophyta; Magnoliopsida; Brassicales; Brassicaceae
Description: long non-coding RNA (BNAP_LNC020366)
Source: RNAcentral